UUGCAGUAAGAGUGUCCACUUGUUCCAGUUCUGUCCAAAGACAGCUAAGCAGAGGUCCGAAGGGGAGAUUCAUAUCAAGUAUUGCUUUUCUGAAAGAAGGGUCUAGAUUGGCUGGCUCCUCACCCUCCGGCUUCCUGUCUGAAGUGAACUCCAUUGCCCUUCUGUGGCUUCUCAGUGCAGGUAUCCUUGCUUGGGCUACGGCUCCUGCUGCCUAGAUGAUACCUUUUGGGGGACUCUUAAAAACGUGCACAGGUAAAGCAACCCACACACCAUUAACUGGCACCUACUCUAAGUCCGGCAGUGGUGACUUGAAACUGAGUUCAACAAAGGAGCCUCUUCUAUAUUUGGAUCACUUGUGCCAGCCUGGAGAUCACCAAAAAGUCCUUCUGAAAAUCACCUGCAAAUACCUGGCCCAGCCCUGGAAGAGGUGCAAAGGGUAAGGGGCACCACAUUUAUUUUCUUAGAUCCCAGGUGUGAUCAGCCCCACCCUAGGUGAUGGUCUCUGUUAACGAUAUCCACCUGGAGAGCAGGAAGGAGAAAACUGAUAAAGGCCAGAAGGUUAAAAACAAUCCAAGAGGUGUGUGUGUGUGUGGGGGGGGACGGGGAUGCUUAGAAGACCUUUGCCCCCUGAAACUUUGAUUUACAAACUGCACAGCUAUCAGGUCACCUGGGGCUGUGGAGGCUAUAAAAAAAAAAAAGUCACCAGCUGAUAUAGCUCUCUGCUUGGCAGCCUGGGAAUUUCUAAUUCUGGGGAAGUAUGACCGUGACACUGUGGUCCCUCUCUCUUUCUUUCUGACUCACAGCCCUUCAAGACUCUCUGGAGAGUGGGAGGGGAUCUGGUGGAGGCACUAUCCCUAUAAGUGGACGGGAUGGGCUCGGGAGAAUUGUACUGUUCUCCAGAGCCCCAAGGUGACUGGUACUAAGCUCAAUCCCUUUAUAGUAGAUGUGACUUGGGAAAGUCACAGUGUUUAUUUAAGUCUCUGUUUUUCAUCUGCACAAUAGGAAUGAGAAGGGAGGGUGGCCCUGCCUGCCUUGGCAGUUAUGGCAAGGAGCAAUCUAAGAGGUGUGACUCAGCCCAGGGAUGCAGAAGGACUAAGGUGGCACCAGGUCUCGUCAGCACAUUAGUUCCACCUCACUUGUCACACAAACAUGAAGUCUGUUCAGGGCGAGGUGUCAGCUGCAGGGUGCUCACCACCCAGAGUGUGGUUCUGUGUGGGGCAACAUCAACAUCCCUGAGAUCUUGUCCGAGAUGCUGACUCUCUGACCCAUCCCAGACCUGCUGAACCAGAAUCUGCACUUUAACAAGAGCCCCAAGAGAUCUGCGCACUCAUUAAAGUUCAAAAAGCUCUGC
This is a non-coding RNA of Ictidomys tridecemlineatus (thirteen-lined ground squirrel), 1351 nucleotides long. Lineage: Eukaryota; Metazoa; Chordata; Mammalia; Rodentia; Sciuridae. The record is from RefSeq and is a predicted model, not a curated record.